Xenopus tropicalis (tropical clawed frog) is the source of this 1327-nucleotide long non-coding RNA. RefSeq lists it as uncharacterized. The transcript is spliced from 3 exons. Lineage: Eukaryota; Metazoa; Chordata; Amphibia; Anura; Pipidae. The record is from RefSeq and is a predicted model, not a curated record.
GUGGCAACUAAUUAAACUUUAGAGCAAGGGCACAUGGGGUCAGUCUGCGUAUAAGUGCAGACUUACAAGUCACCCCUACACUUCUAGAUGUGCCUGCACCCAGAAGCAUUGAAUCUCCAGUAAGACGUGUCAUUAAUGAAGUUUUCUAAUUUCCUCUACCAGGUGAAUUCAUUCAGAAUAUGUUGGAGCCUGAGUAGACUUCCAGUGUCAUGGGAUGAGAGUUUUGGCUGCAAAUAAGAGUUGAAGGAGUGAACAUCAUGGCGCAAAUGACAUAUUAUGGAAUACAGGCGUUCAUUUAGAGAAGUGAAAAAAGAGGGAGAGAGUAAAGGAAAGACUUGAUUUCAUACUGAGUGACUGAUGGAGUCGAGGUUGAGAGAAAAUAUGAACAGACAUCACCAAAGUUUUUUAAUGAACGGACACAUUUAUUAAAUUUAUUACCUGUGUUAAUUCAUCUGUAUGUGUUUCUCUACUUUGAGCAAACCCCCAUUUGUUCUAUGCAUUUGUUUUAAGUUGUAUGCUCAGCAGUAGCAGCACUCAACGUGUGGGCAGACAAGACUGGGACAAUUACUUUUGAUUUUUAAUCAUUCCCGUGCAAAUGAAAUAGUUAUGUUUGGUCAUUACAUACAUUUAACUCUUUAACAAGUGCAUCUGUACCACUCAUAAUGAAUUAAGAUGUUUCCAUAUUCCACAUGAAUACCGACUCCCAAGUAUACUACCACAUCCAUUUUAAGGCUUUUUCCUUUUAUUUCUUUACAAAAAACAGCGAUGCUAUAAUAUUGCCUGAAUGUGGGAACUAUUGCCAUUGAGAGCAUCAUAUAAAGAAAGGCAAUACAAUACAAUUUAACAUUACAUUGUAGUAUAAUGUAGUGAUAUUUUAAGACAAAAAGCCAUGUCUUAUUUUUUAUAUUGUGUUUUUAAAUGUUUGUUUCUCGGUUAUGCUUCAGUUCAGACUAAAAUUGUAAAUGCUAUCUAAAUGGUGGAAUCCCUGACUCUGGGGACCACAGAUUAAUCUUAAAGUUAGAAUUUUAUUGUUAAUAAGUAUUUCUAUUUUCUAUUGUUAUAUCCUCAUCUCUACUGCUAUCAUAUCAAAUGUUAACUUCACUAGAAUUGUAAAAGUAGAGAAUUUCAUAUGAAAAAUCUUCUUUAACAUGCCAGCUGUAUUUUUCUUAUAAAAAUUAGCAUGUAAGAUAAAUAUAUUUUUGUCCUAUACAAUGUGGUGCACUGGGGAGUAAUAAACAUCAAUACUAUGUAUUUGUUAUAAAGGUGACCAAGCAGGAACAUUACAAAAAUAACAUGUCUUAUUAUUAAAUGAAUCAUACCUCCCUUU